This 28-nucleotide non-coding RNA is filed under the name Rattus norvegicus (Norway rat). Lineage: Eukaryota; Metazoa; Chordata; Mammalia; Rodentia; Muridae. The record is from RNAcentral.
UAGGAGGGUUUAUUAUGAAUUCUGUGUC